UAUUCCUACGGGGCGCAGCAGUAGGGAAUUUUCGUCAAUGGGCGCAAGCCUGAACGAGCGAUGCCGCGCGAGUGAAGAAGGCCUUCGGGUCGUAAAGCUCUGUUGCGGGGGAAGAAAGGCAGCAUCAGGAAAUGGGUGCUGACUGAUGGUGCCCCGCCAGGAAGUCACGGCUAACUACGUGCCAGCAGCCGCGGUAAUACGUAGGUGGCGAGCGUUAUCCGGAAUGAUUGGGCGUAAAGGGUGCGCAGGCGGUCCUGCAAGUCUGGAGUGAAACGCAUGAGCUCCACUCA
Molecule: ribosomal RNA, 290 nt
Filed under: uncultured bacterium
Lineage: Bacteria
Description: partial 16S ribosomal RNA
Rfam family: Bacterial small subunit ribosomal RNA
Source: RNAcentral